RNAcentral lists this long non-coding RNA (221 nucleotides) under Lathyrus oleraceus (garden pea). RNAcentral describes it as "Pisum sativum (pea) long non-coding RNA (PSAT_LNC016088)". Lineage: Eukaryota; Viridiplantae; Streptophyta; Magnoliopsida; Fabales; Fabaceae. The record is from RNAcentral.
AAAGAUGGGGUAUAAACCUUUGUAGAGCAGCUUUCAAGAGCACAAUUCAACCAAUCCUUUGCUUGCAGCUUGAUCUGGAUGCUUGGUAUGAGAGCUAGGCUUAAGAAUUAGUGAUGAUAAUCAACUGAUAUUGUUGAAAAUCACACUUGAAAGUGAAAAGUGAAAAUGCAAAUUCCUUUGGUGAGAGGUUAGGGAAGCAAUUCAGCAGAGGUUCAGGCGCC